This 92-nucleotide transfer RNA is filed under the name Serratia phage phiMAM1. Its description in RNAcentral is "tRNA-Cys". Lineage: Duplodnaviria; Heunggongvirae; Uroviricota; Caudoviricetes; Pantevenvirales; Ackermannviridae. The record is from RNAcentral.
UGGCCGGGUAGCUCAAUUGGUAGAGUGGCGCGCGUACAGCCUGAGGCGACAUUAGCGCGAUGUUGUGGCUUCGAGAACCACCCCGGCCACCC